UCCAAUUUGUAGGUGUUCAGGAUGGCUUGAAAGUUAUCUAAGUAAGUUGGUGGGGCCGGGUGACUUGGGGACCCUACUCCUCCACCAUCUUUCUGGUGGUGGCCUCCCAUUGACUACAUUUUUUAAAGGAAAAACCGUGCUUUUUUCCAUACUCUCCUCACAGAGACCCACCAACUGUUUGCUGUUUCCUUACACUUCACAACUGUUUUGUGUGUAAGCCCUUUGGAAUGUGCUGGAGUUACUGCCUGCCAUGUGGCUAUUCCAACUGUUUCUGUUACUUUAUUUCAGAUCUCAUAUACAGUUGUUCCUUGAACAGCUAGGAGGUUGGGGGAUCAACUCCCCCCAGCUAGGUCAAAAAUCCAUCUAUGACUUUUGACUCUCCAAAAACUUAACUGCUAAUAGCUUACUGUUGACUGGAAGCCUUACUGAUAACACAACCAGUUGGCUAACACAUAUUUUGUAUGUAUACUGUACCCCUACAAGAAAGUAAGCUAGAGAAAAGAAAAUCAUAAGAGAAAAUACAUUUAUGAUAUUGUAUUGUAAAGCAUAAAUCUGCUUAUAAAUGGACCUGUGUGGUUCAAACCCAUGUUGCUCAAGGGUUUUGCAGAAAGAGCUCAUUGCAGCUAUGCAUGGCAGCAUCAUCCUGUCUUCUGGAGCCAGUUCCAGUUUCUAUUUCUCUAAGUAGUAUCUGAGUGAUCCCAGAGAAACUCCUGUAUCUAAGACUCAGCAACCUCAGAGAAAGCAAGGAGCUGGUGACUAUGUGGUCAGAGUCCCUUUUUGAGGAAAAGUGGAAGAACACCAUGUUAUACAGUGGGCCACGGAAUCUCUUGGAUUUAUAGCUACAAGUACCUGGGUCCCAGGCCUCCUGACUCUGGUUGGCCUCCUGUGCAAGAGUGGUGCAUUUGGAAAUGGCUCCUGGGGCAUUAGGCUGGUCGCAAAACUCAGGGGGAAGUAAGAAUGGGUAGUUAUGUGGCUUGUUUUGCUUUGCUUUUUGCCUUUGUUUUCUUCUGGCUGCCAGAGCUUUCCUCUCUAUGCCCUUGGGAAAAGGGUUUUCCCAUUAGGACUCCAUCUUGUUUGUGUGGCCCUGACAAAGUGGUUUGGGGUCUAGAAUUGCCUUUCUCAGGGAUCUUCUCCAAACCUCCAGCUACAGACCCCACGGAUUCACCUCAUGAGCCCCCUGUGAGGACGUUGGUGACAGAAGAUAUCAGCCUUGGUCAUCUAAGGGCAGGUCCACAGAAGUGAUAUAAAGAGAUUAGAGUAGAGGAUGGCUAAAGGCAAAGGAGAUGGAACAGCUUUCCACUGGAUGGAACAACAUUCCACUGGAUGCCUGAGUUUGGCUCAAGAUACCUUUUGUCAGUCCUUCUGAUGUACCCUCCUUGGUGUGGUACAAGUUGGAGCCAGAAGAAAUGGAGCAGAUAAAAGUAAUGCAGGAUCAAGGCCCUUUGCGACCAUGAACAAACACUAUGAUGUCUCCCAGCAAACCCUUGACCUCCAGAGGCUCUGCUUUGACCCAGAAGUUAGCCUGAAAGUUGAACAAAGCGAAGGGGCUGAAGGUUGUAGAGCUGUGGCCAGAAGGGAAUCCAUGUCAACUUUCCUGGGGACCUCUGACCCUGGGAGCCUGAGUUACCCAGCAGUGCCUGUCUGCGGGAAGUAGCAGCCAUGCGGAGGACCACAUGCUCUGCCUUCUCUUCUUUCUGUGUCCCUCACCUGUGCCUAGAGGUCUCCUUUCCUUCUUCUGAACUGCUUACCUGUUUGCCUGGUCUGGGGUCUCUUUCUUACCAUCUUCUGCUCUCUCAGCUUUCUCUAACAUGUUGCUAUGUUCUGGAUGUUUGUGUCCCCCAUCCCACCCUGGAAAAUUAUAAAAAUCCUGACACCCAAAGAUGACAGUAUCAGGAGGUGGGUUUUUGGGAAAUGCUUAGGUCAUGAGGAUGCAACACUCCUGAAUGGGAUGAGUGCCCUUAUAUAAAGGGCUCCAGAGAGAUCCCUAACCCUUUCUACCAUGUGAGGACAUAACAAGAAAGUGCCAGGUAUGAACCAGGAAGAGGGCCCUCAUCAGAAAGCGACCAUGCUGCUGCCUUGAUCUAGACUUUAAGCCUACGGAAUGGAUAGCAGUAAGUUUCUGUCAUUUACCAGACACCUAGUUGGUAGUAUUUUGUUAUAGUAGCCUGAAUAGACUAAGACUCAGGCCUUCCCAUGGGUGUGUUCUAGGAAGCAGGAAUCCCGCUCCUUUCCAGGAUCAGAGUGAACACCUUGAGCCAGGUGCUGGUGUCCUGGACCGAGAAGGGUCCUCCAGCCCAGGGUUUCAUGCUGAGACAGGUCUUCCUACUCCCUUCUGAGACAAGGCUUCCCUCCCUUGUUCUGAGAGGGAGCCUCCUUUUCUUGAACCAGAUGUAUCCCACCCCCAAUCUCAGGUGGCCUUAAUGGCUUUCCUGCCCCAUGCUGAGGGCUGAGGUCCUGUUCCUUUGGCUGAAUGCCAGGAGCUGGGCCCUCCUUGGGAGACACCAGGGUUCCCUGAGUCAGGGGGCCAGAAGUGGGUGACUGCCAGUGAGCAGAGAGCGUUCCUGGGGCAGGGAUGGAAGGCAGAGGGCAGAGGUGCUUGAGAAUGAAGGACAGGCCUCUCAGAGGAACUUCCCCCUCCCCUCCCUCCACACAUCUCAUCAACCUGACUGGUCCUUCAGGGGAACCCUGGUGAGCCUGACAUGGAUAUAAUCCCUCAGGCGAGGAACCAACUGAGAUAAUCACAGGUGCACAGGGGCCAUCAGGAGAGAGGGCAGUGGUCAUAAGAGGAGACCACAGACCCUCAGCCCUAUGCUGACCUGGGGCUUGACCCUUUACUCCUUCUGGGACAGGUCUCCUGCCCCCGUGGUUGCCUUGUUCUCCAUGCCCAGCUCGAAUUGAGCUCACACAGGUGACAAAGUUUCAACCAGCAUCCAAUGGGCCCCCAGCCCAACACAUGCAUGUUUUCCAUUCCUACCUUGGGUGACAGGGCAGAUGAAGGAAAAGGCUGCAGCCAUGAAGCCAUUUCCUCCUUCUCUCUUCCUCCCUGACCCCACCACCAUGGUAGAGCUUCUUUCCCUUCCCUUUGCUUUGCUUUCUCUUCAUUCUUUGUCUCUACUCCCCUGUGUCUCUCUUACGUCUCCCCUCCUACCUUUACCCCGUCUUCUGUCUUCACCCCCCUCCCUCUCUGCCUCCUGGGCCUUGUCUCACUCAUCUCCCUGCCCCAGCAUCCUGGGCCAUCCCAGGAUGGGCGGUGGGGGUCAUGGUCCUGCAGAAUGCUGGACCCCUAGUGAGGUAGCAGAGCCCUGGGCUCCCACCCCAUUCCCUCUUCUCUCUGGAGCCUUUGGUAGGGACUUGAAGGAAGGGAGGGAAGCAGAAACGUGAAGACAACCCUAGAGUCUGGGUUCCAAAUGUUGCUUCUGGUGGUAUUGGAGAAAGGAGUCAGGACUGUCUAGGUGGAUGCUACAUAGGGGAAAGGAAAUGGAGGAGAGAGAGGAAGAAUAUGAGGGGUGCAGAAGACAUGGGAGGGAAGAGGAAAAGGAGAAAAUGUGCUUUUCCUCUGGGUCAGUCCACAGGGGAGGUGUGCAGGGCCCUGGUGUCUUGGACAUGUGGUGUAGGUGGGACACACCGGGCUGUGUGCCCAUGCCUGUCUAACCUGCACAUCCUGGGUGUUAGGGACACAGGUUGUGGAGUGAUGGCUCUCACCCCAAAUCCUUACUUUCUGAACUUGGCCCAUUACUUAACCUCUCAUUUUCCUCAUUUGCAAAAGGGGCCUAAUAAUGUCCAUCUUUUGGGCUGCUGUAAAAGUUGAAUCAAACGACCUUGUGAAGUGACUGUCACAGGGUCUGUACAUAGUAACAAUCCCUGUCACUGGAAGCAGAUCUUCCUAUUGUUGCCCUCCCCAUCCUGACACCUUGAUUCCCAGAGAACAAUUGUCUUCUUCAGCAUGAGUAUCAUCAUAAGACCCUGAUAGGGAAUGCUGUGUGAUGGUGUCAAGCAUAUGUAAUUCGAAGGGGGUAUUGUUGUUUGUUGUUGAAGUGGAAAGAAAGCCUUAGGGUUCCGUUCAUAACUUCUUCCCAUACCCCCUCCCAACCCAGUUUCAUUGAUAUAUAAGUGACAUUCACCUUUUUGUAAGUUUAUCUGUACCUUCAUCCAGACCUCCACUGCUACCCCCACCAGCAAUUCCAGGUGAAUGCUGUGUUGUGGGUGGAACUCCCACAACCCUUUAAGGUUAUGGGGAAUGUGGUUCCUCAGUCCUCGGUGUUUUCUCAAUAUUGUGGAAAACCAACAGGUAGAUCCAAAGAGUCUAGCCUAGUGGUUAAGGGCAUGAGGGUAUAGAAUAGGAAUAUGGGUUCUUUCCCAGACCCAAAACAUACUAGCUGUGUGACUUUGGUCAAGACAUUGCUGUGACUCAGUGUCUUACUCUGAAAAUGGAGUUAGACAGUCCAGUCCUUAGGCCAUUUUAUGGAGUAAAUGAGACUAUAAAACCAUCCCUGGGGGAUCCCUGGGUGGCACAGCGGUUUGGCGCCUGCCUUUGGCCCAGGGUGCGAUCCUGGAGACCCGGGAUCGAAUCCCACGUCGGGCUCCCGGUGCAUGGAGCCU
Long non-coding RNA from Canis lupus familiaris (dog), 4599 nucleotides. RefSeq lists it as uncharacterized. Lineage: Eukaryota; Metazoa; Chordata; Mammalia; Carnivora; Canidae. The transcript is spliced from 5 exons. The record is from RefSeq and is a predicted model, not a curated record.